Long non-coding RNA from Leptopilina boulardi, 403 nucleotides. RefSeq lists it as uncharacterized. Lineage: Eukaryota; Metazoa; Arthropoda; Insecta; Hymenoptera; Figitidae. The transcript is spliced from 3 exons. The record is from RefSeq and is a predicted model, not a curated record.
CUUAUUCAAUGAAUGACUCAUGUGGGAAAUGAGGCGCAUGUAAAACUAGAUCUUUUUCUUGAAAAAUCUCCCAUCGAACGAGGAUGAUGUGAGAAUGAAUCUGAAUUUUUAACUGAACAACCGGUUCGAAUGGGAGGAUUGCGGGUUCGUUCGCUUCUGGAUUCGCGUGAUGCAACUCAUUUCUAUAUACACAGUCGUUUCUUCUCUCAGUAUAGAUUUAUCUAGUGUACUUCAAUUCAAAUGAUUUUAUUCCUCUGCUCAAUAUUUUCCGUCCAGAAUAAAUAUAUCCUAUGUAUAGUUACAUAAAAAAAAAGAAGAAGAAAACUUUCAAGUCCACAAAGUCAAUAUAAUAUUGGAUCUAAAGAGAAUAGUGGAUACUUUUUUUUUACCUGCAUUGCUUCAG